This 253-nucleotide ribosomal RNA is filed under the name uncultured bacterium. Its description in RNAcentral is "partial 16S ribosomal RNA". It matches the Rfam family "Bacterial small subunit ribosomal RNA", at positions 524 to 776 of the family's 1533-position model. The record is from RNAcentral.
UACGAAGGGGGCUAGCGUUGCUCGGAAUUACUGGGCGUAAAGGGCGCGUAGGCGGCACUGUUAGUCAGGCGUGAAAGUCCUGGGCUCAACCUGGGAACUGCGCUUGAUACGGCAGAGCUAGAGGAUGGAAGAGGCUCGCGGAAUUCCCAGUGUAGAGGUGAAAUUCGUAGAUAUUGGGAAGAACACCGGUGGCGAAGGCGGCGAGCUGGUCCAUUACUGACGCUGAGGAGCGAAAGCAUGGGGAGCGAACAGG